RNAcentral lists this ribosomal RNA (424 nucleotides) under Fusobacteriota bacterium. RNAcentral's name for it is "Fusobacteria bacterium partial 16S ribosomal RNA". It matches the Rfam family "Bacterial small subunit ribosomal RNA", at positions 355 to 776 of the family's 1533-position model. Lineage: Bacteria; Fusobacteriati; Fusobacteriota. The record is from RNAcentral.
UGAGGAAUAUUGGUCAAUGGGCGAGAGCCUGAACCAGCCAAGUAGCGUGCAGGAUGACGGCCCUAUGGGUUGUAAACUGCUUUUAUGUGGGGAUAAAGUGCGUGACGUGUCAUGCAUUGCAGGUACCACAUGAAUAAGGACCGGCUAAUUCCGUGCCAGCAGCCGCGGUAAUACGGAAGGUACGGGCGUUAUCCGGAUUUAUUGGGUUUAAAGGGAGCGUAGGCUGUCUAUUAAGCGUGUUGUGAAAUAUACCGGCUCAACCGGUGGCUUGCAGGGCGAACAGGUGGACUUGAGUAUGCAGGAAGUAGGCAGAAUUCAUGGUGUAGAGGUGAAAUGCUUAGAUAUCAUGACGAACACCGAUAGCGCAGGAAGCUUACUGUAGCAUAACUGACGCUGAUGCUCGAAAGUGCGGGUAUCAAACAGG